UGGUGGAGUGAUUUGUCUGGUUAAUUCCGUUAACGAACGAGACCUCAGUUUUUAAAUAGUGUGGGAAAACUCUACCGGGUGAAGUGUGGGGGUGUGGUGGUGGCCUAAAAACCAUUACUGCCUCCUGCAUGGAUCCUUGAUGCUUUUCUUCAUGCUUCUUAGAAAGACUAUUGGGGAAUACCUAAUGGAGGGGAGGCAAUAACA
This 204-nucleotide ribosomal RNA is filed under the name uncultured eukaryote. RNAcentral describes it as "partial 18S ribosomal RNA". It matches the Rfam family "Eukaryotic small subunit ribosomal RNA", at positions 1299 to 1458 of the family's 1831-position model. The record is from RNAcentral.